CACAUCAUAGAGUGGCACAGUUCUUUGUGUUUGUUAAACUACAAAACCUAGAGUUUCCUGUACCUUCUGCACGCUGCUUUUAUAUUCUUGAGGCCUCUUGCUGGAAGGCCUGGGCUAGCAAAAGAUAGGAAAUACCUAGAAAAACUCAACCCAAUGUAUGGAAACAGAACUUCCUGGUUCUAGCUCUCUCUUGAGUCUUCCCCAGUGGCAGAAGUGAAAGCUAUUUAUAGAAAACUAUUUAUUUAGCACACUGUAAUUGUGUAGAAACAUGCUCUCUCCAAGCACAAAGGUUCCUAGGGCAGUGAAAUGCAGCUAUCUGAGCAGAAGGUUUCCAUAUGCAACAGUGCUGGAUUUGAGCUGGGAGAGGCUCGAAAGCAUAAUUUAUUGAAAUUUACUUUUGCUGCCUGAGAAGUGUUUUCUAUGGGCACCUGAUGACAUCUGGCACACUGGAGAACUGCAUUUCCCAACAUUGUGGACAUCAGGGAGGAAUAAUGAGGGAAAGAGAAAAAUGGAAGAUGGGGGAAAGGCAAGCAACAAGAGAGCAACUCUUCUACCUCUGUUGGAGCAGCUUGCAGGCAAUAACAGUGCAGCAACUAGAUGCAGGUGAGGUGGUGACUGUCCUGAAUCAGUGCCUUGGUACCAACUGCAGUUUCCAGACCAUUUUUGAAGGCUGCCCCAUGUGCAAUACAUAUACAACGCUAAGUGAGACGUUACCAGAGCAUGAGUAACUGUGGCCAAGCUAUCUCUGUCCAGAUAAGGUUGCAGUUGGAGUAUCAGCACAAGCUGAUAAAAGUUACUCCAAGCCACAGAGGCCACUUGAGCCCCUACUAACAAUGCUGUAUCAAUGAGUACCCUGGACCACAAACCUGGUCCUUCAGGAGGAGUGCAGCCCCAUCUAGAACAGGCUGAACAUCAUUCACCUGGGCAGAGGAACUACCAACCAACAGUACUUUUGAGUCUCAACUUGAGUUCACCUCACCCUCAUCCAGUCCAUUACUACAUCAAGGCCUCAGUGGGAGUGCAGAACAGGCAGUUUUAAAUCAUCUCUUGGGUUCCGACCCGACAGCUACAUCUUAUUUGGAUUCAAUUUCAAUUUGUUAUCCCUCAUCCAACCCAAUACUGCCUCCUGGCAGGCAUUUAGGGAAGUGAUGCCAUUUUCUGAUGAGGUUGAUAUGAAGAAAUAGAUCUGGGUGUUUCAUGUGUUUUAAUUGGAUGUUUUAAUGUUCUGUUGUGAACCGCCCACAAAAUAAUUUGUUAUGGGGCAACUAACAAAUAAAGU
Molecule: long non-coding RNA, 1279 nt
Organism: Hemicordylus capensis (graceful crag lizard)
Lineage: Eukaryota; Metazoa; Chordata; Lepidosauria; Squamata; Cordylidae
Exons: 4
Source: RefSeq, a predicted model, not a curated record